Non-coding RNA from Mycena alexandri, 103 nucleotides. The record is from the annotation of a GenBank genome assembly. Lineage: Eukaryota; Fungi; Basidiomycota; Agaricomycetes; Agaricales; Mycenaceae.
GCCUGCAUAGAUCAAUGGUAGAUCAUCUCUCCCAGUUAUGAGUUAUGUCGCUUAUGUUUCACUUGGACACGAGAGGACGGAGGUUCGAAUCCUCCUGUGGGCA